This 66-nucleotide transfer RNA is filed under the name Anolis polyrhachis. Its description in RNAcentral is "partial tRNA-Tyr". The record is from RNAcentral. Lineage: Eukaryota; Metazoa; Chordata; Lepidosauria; Squamata; Anolidae.
GAUAAAGAAAGGAAUUAAACCAAUGUGGGCGGAACUACAGUCCGCCGCUUACCAUUCAGCCACUUU